RNAcentral lists this ribosomal RNA (1418 nucleotides) under uncultured bacterium. Its description in RNAcentral is "bacterial SSU rRNA". It matches the Rfam family "Bacterial small subunit ribosomal RNA". The record is from RNAcentral.
GGCCAGAUGACCCUAUAGGGCGAUGAAUUAGCGGCGCGAAUCGCCCUUAGAGUUUGAUCCUGGCUCAGGACGAACGCUGGCGGCGCGCCUAACACAUGCAAGUCGAACGAGCGAGAGAGAGCUUGCUUUCUCAAGCGAGUGGCGAACGGGUGAGUAACGCGUGAGGAACCUGCCUCAAAGAGGGGGACAACAGUUGGAAACGACUGCUAUACCGCAUAAGCCCACAGCUCGGCAUCGAGCAGAGGGAAAAGGAGCAAUCCGCUUUGAGAUGGCCUCGCGUCCGAUUAGCUGGUUGGUGAGGUAAUGGCCCACCAAGGCGACGAUCGGUAGCCGGACUGAGAGGUUGAACGGCCACAUUGGGACUGAGACACGGCCCAGACUCCUACGGGAGGCAGCAGUGGGGAAUAUUGCACAAUGGGGGAAACCCUGAUGCAGCGACGCCGCGUGGAGGAAGAAGGUCUUCGGAUUGUAAACUCCUGUUGUUGAGGAAGAUAAUGACGGUACUCAACAAGGAAGUGACGGCUAACUACGUGCCAGCAGCCGCGGUAAAACGUAGGUCACAAGCGUUGUCCGGAAUUACUGGGUGUAAAGGGAGCGCAGGCGGGAAGACAAGUUGGAAGUGAAAUCUAUGGGCUCAACCCAUAAACUGCUUUCAAAACUGUUUUUCUUGAGUAGUGCAGAGGUAGGCGGAAUUCCGGUGUAGCGGUGGAAUGCGUAGAUAUCGGGAGGAACACCAGUGGCGAAGGCGGCCUACUGGGCACCAACUGACGCUGAGGCUCGAAAGUGUGGGGUAGCAAACAGGAUUAGAUACCCUGGUAGUCCACACCGUAAACGAUGAUUACUAGGUGUUGGAGGAUUGACCCCUUCAGUGCCGCAGUUAACACAAUAAGUAAUCCACCUGGGGAGUACGACCGCAAGGUUGAAACUCAAAGGAAUUGACGGGGGCCCGCACAAGCAGUGGAGUAUGUGGUUUAAUUCGACGCAACGCGAAGAACCUUACCAAGUCUUGACAUCCCUUGACGAUGCUGGAAACAGUAUUUCUCUUCGGAGCAAGGAGACAGGUGGUGCAUGGUUGUCGUCAGCUCGUGUCGUGAGAUGUUGGGUUAAGUCCCGCAACGAGCGCAACCCUUACUGUCAGUUACUACGCAAGAGGACUCUGGCAGGACUGCCGUUGACAAAACGGAGGAAGGUGGGGAUGACGUCAAAUCAUCAUGCCCUUUAUGACUUGGGCUACACACGUACUACAAUGGCGUUAAACAAAGAGAAGCAAGACCGCGAGGUGGAGCAAAACUCAGAAACAACGUCCCAGUUCGGACUGCAGGCUGCAACUCGCCUGCACGAAGUCGGAAUUGCUAGUAAUCGUGGAUCAGCAUGCCACGGUGAAUACGUUCCNCGGGCCCUUGUACACACCGCCCGUC